GGAUUGUAGCUCAGUGGUAGAGUGCUUGCCUCACACACAUAAGGCCCUGGGUUCGUUCCUCAGCACCA
This 68-nucleotide transfer RNA is filed under the name Marmota monax (woodchuck). RNAcentral's name for it is "tRNA.Val". The stretch from base 5 to 65 matches the Rfam family "tRNA", at positions 6 to 65 of the family's 71-position model. Rfam says of the family: Transfer RNA (tRNA) molecules are approximately 80 nucleotides in length. Their secondary structure includes four short double-helical elements and three loops (D, anti-codon, and T loops). Further hydrogen bonds mediate the characteristic L-shaped molecular structure. tRNAs have two regions of fundamental functional importance: the anti-codon, which is responsible for specific mRNA codon recognition, and the 3' end, to which the tRNAs corresponding amino acid is attached (by aminoacyl-tRNA synthetases). tRNAs cope with the degeneracy of the genetic code in two manners: having more than one tRNA (with a specific anti-codon) for a particular amino acid; and 'wobble' base-pairing, i.e. permitting non-standard base-pairing at the 3rd anti-codon position. Lineage: Eukaryota; Metazoa; Chordata; Mammalia; Rodentia; Sciuridae. The record is from RNAcentral.